UACGGAGGGUGCGAGUGUUGUCCGGAAUCACUGGGCGUAAAGGGCGCGUAGGCGGCGCGGAUAGUCGGCGGUGAAAGCCCGGAGCUCAACUCCGGGUCGGCCGUCGAUACUUCCGGGCUUGAGCACUGUAGAGGCAGAUGGAAUUCCGGGUGUAGCGGUGGAAUGCGUAGAGAUCCGGAAGAACACCGGUGGCGAAGGCGGUCUGCUGGGCAGUUGCUGACGCUGAUGCGCGACAGCGUGGGGGAGCAAACGAGG
This 255-nucleotide ribosomal RNA is filed under the name uncultured bacterium. RNAcentral's name for it is "partial 16S ribosomal RNA". It matches the Rfam family "Bacterial small subunit ribosomal RNA", at positions 524 to 777 of the family's 1533-position model. The record is from RNAcentral.